Molecule: small nuclear RNA, 144 nt
Organism: Suricata suricatta (meerkat)
Lineage: Eukaryota; Metazoa; Chordata; Mammalia; Carnivora; Herpestidae
Gene: U2
Rfam family: U2 spliceosomal RNA
About the family: U2 is a small nuclear RNA (snRNA) component of the spliceosome (involved in pre-mRNA splicing).
Source: Ensembl
AUCGCUUCUCGGCCUUUUGGCUAAGAUCAAGUGUAGUAAAUUAGGUGAAGUUAAAUUAAACGAACAUUUCCCAAAUCAUUCUGCUAGUGUUUCAUUGGUUAAUGCCAAAUGCAAACUGCUAUUUCAAAAUACAGUUUACGAAUG